Molecule: non-coding RNA, 160 nt
Organism: Miniopterus natalensis
Lineage: Eukaryota; Metazoa; Chordata; Mammalia; Chiroptera; Miniopteridae
Source: RefSeq, a predicted model, not a curated record
UAAAGAAGAAUCAUCAGUAACGUCAUACGAGAAAAACUUUGAGAAUUCAAAGAUUACAGAUACUCAUAUCCCAAUAAUUGUUUGUUCUCAUGAGGAGAAGGAAGACUUGGAAACUGGUAUUCAAAAUGUAAAAGAUGUAAACAGGAUCCAUGAUGAACAU